UGACGGUACUUUAGGAGGAAGCUCCGGCUAACUACGUGCCAGCAGCCGCGGUAAUACGUAGGGAGCGAGCGUUGUCCGGAAUUACUGGGUGUAAAGGGAGCGUAGGCGGGAUUGCAAGUCAGAUGUGAAAUACAGGGGCUCAACCUCUGGGCUGCAUUUGAAACUGUAGUUCUUGAGUGAAGUAGAGGCAAGCGGAAUUCCUGGUGUAGCGGUGAAAUGCGUAGAUAUCAGGAGGAACACCGGUGGCGAAGGCGGCUUGCUGGGCUUUUACUGACGCUGAGGCUCGAAAGCGUGGGGAGCAAACAGGAUUAGAUACCCUG
RNAcentral lists this ribosomal RNA (320 nucleotides) under uncultured bacterium. RNAcentral describes it as "bacterial SSU rRNA". It matches the Rfam family "Bacterial small subunit ribosomal RNA", at positions 470 to 789 of the family's 1533-position model. The record is from RNAcentral.